ACACGACUACAUUAGAUACCCGGGUAGUCCCAGCCGUAAACUAUGCGCGUUAGGUGUAUCGGUGACCACGAGUCACGGAGGUGCCGAAGGGAAACCGUGAAACGUGCCGCCUGGGAAGUACGGUCGCAAGGCUAGAAACUUAAAGGAAUUGGCGGGGAGCACCACAACGGGUGGAGCCUGCGGUUUAAUUGGACUCAACGCCGGGAAGCUCACCGGAUAAGACAGCGGAAUGAUUGCCGGGCUGAAGACUCUGCAUGACUAGCUG
This 265-nucleotide ribosomal RNA is filed under the name uncultured archaeon. RNAcentral describes it as "partial 16S ribosomal RNA". It matches the Rfam family "Archaeal small subunit ribosomal RNA", at positions 717 to 982 of the family's 1478-position model. The record is from RNAcentral.